GAUGAAGAACGUAGCGAAAUGCGAUAAGUAGUGUGAAUUGCAGAAUUCAGUGAAUCAUCGAAUCUUUGAACGCACCUUGCACCCUUUGUCAUUCCGAAGGGUAUGCUCGUUUGAGUGUCAUUGUACUCUCACACUUCCAAUCUUUGGAUUGGGAGCAGUGGACUUGGGUGUUGCUGCUUACUGUGGCUCACCUCAAAUCGAUUCGUGCACCUCUUGGUUGGACAUAGUACGGCGUGAUAAGUGUCUUCGACGGCAACUCAGUAGAGGGUGGCUGAUCAGGAGCUCUGUGCUUCAAACCGUCCUCGGACAACAACUGACAACUUGACCUCAAAUCGAGUAGGACUACCCGCUGAACUUAAGCAUAUCAAUAAGCGGAGGA
RNAcentral lists this unclassified non-coding RNA (379 nucleotides) under soil metagenome. RNAcentral's name for it is "partial contains 5.8S ribosomal RNA, internal transcribed spacer 2, and large subunit ribosomal RNA". The stretch from base 1 to 120 matches the Rfam family "5.8S ribosomal RNA", at positions 35 to 154 of the family's 154-position model. The record is from RNAcentral.